GCAGGUUGGAGGAACUUUCUUGUCGCAAGCCCAGGUUUCAACUUGCCAGGAAGGCACCUGCCAGCAGCCGAAUUCGCAAGCGCCCUUGAAACGUGGAAAAAGGGGUGUCGCUUCUCGUAACGCUGUCAGAAGGGGGAGAAAGAGAGGAUUCGGCAAGUUUGGAAAAAGGAUGUCUAAGCAAAGAAAAAAGCACUAAACGCCAAUACGGAAAAUUCUUUCUCUGACAGCUUUUAUCAAGGCUGUCUCUUGCAAAAGACUGGUGGCCGUGGAGAAAGGAGUGAAAGUGUAUUCUUUCUGUGUCAUGUCAGUAAAAGAUGACACCACUACA
Molecule: non-coding RNA, 328 nt
Organism: Dermacentor andersoni
Lineage: Eukaryota; Metazoa; Arthropoda; Arachnida; Ixodida; Ixodidae
Source: RefSeq, a predicted model, not a curated record